Molecule: long non-coding RNA, 634 nt
Organism: Mauremys mutica (yellowpond turtle)
Lineage: Eukaryota; Metazoa; Chordata; Testudines; Geoemydidae
Exons: 5
Source: RefSeq, a predicted model, not a curated record
AGCCAUCUCCUCUUCUCAGCCCCUCACUGUAGCACUCACAAAACCGUUAUCAGGUUCACUGCUCCUUUAAAGAGACCGUACACAGCCCCAGCCUGCUAGUUUUCCUGAGGAUUUUACUCUUCAGUUUGAAACACUGCACUGAGAUGGUUGGGUAACAAAACAAGGAAACUCAGAAAAUAGACCAAACUGGAAGCAGAGGACGAACUGCUAGGCACACCCUUCCCUCGGCGGAUUGCAUUCCUUCACGUUCCCAGUCCUGGGCAGGGCAGCAGAGGGGCCCUGACUGAAUGGAUUUGCAGAAGGCCCCCAGAGGUGCUGGGACCCACCUUCCAUAAGGACGGAGGAGCACACGACCUGUCUAGCUAGCAGCUGAACAGCGCCGAUGUGUGUCACAGCUAGUCAUUAUUGUAGUGACAGACUGAUGGGCAUGCUACUUCACAGCAGAGAGACUGUCCUUUAUCCUAAGAACAUACAAGGGUGGAAGCAACCCUGGUACAAGCAUUGCUACACCAUUCCACCAUGAAUCCUCCGUUCUGACUUGCAGGGGAACACUACUGAGUUCACAACAGUGAGUGAAGGUGAACCAGACCUGCCAGAGCGGCAUCCUCAUCAUCGGAACUCGAUAACAUGAAGG